UAGGUAGAGGCCUGUUGUUUAGGGCACCUAACUGUUAAUUAGGGGCAUUGUGGGAUCGAAGCCCACCUACCUAG
Molecule: transfer RNA, 74 nt
Filed under: Cacatua pastinator (Western long-billed cockatoo)
Lineage: Eukaryota; Metazoa; Chordata; Aves; Psittaciformes; Cacatuidae
Description: tRNA-Asn
Rfam family: tRNA
About the family: Transfer RNA (tRNA) molecules are approximately 80 nucleotides in length.
Source: RNAcentral